Molecule: non-coding RNA, 148 nt
Filed under: Pan troglodytes (chimpanzee)
Lineage: Eukaryota; Metazoa; Chordata; Mammalia; Primates; Hominidae
Source: Rfam by way of RNAcentral
GCCAGGCGUGGUGGUGCAUGCCUGUAGUCCCAGCUACUUGGGAGGCUGGGGCAGAAGAAUUGCUUGAACCCAGGAGGUGGAGGUUGCUGUGAGCCGAGAUUGCACCACUGCACUCCAGCCUGGGUGACAGAGCGAGACUCUGUCUCAA